Molecule: small RNA, 309 nt
Filed under: Moelleriella libera RCEF 2490
Lineage: Eukaryota; Fungi; Ascomycota; Sordariomycetes; Hypocreales; Clavicipitaceae
Description: Aschersonia aleyrodis RCEF 2490 A. fumigatus sRNA Afu_309
Rfam family: A. fumigatus sRNA Afu_309
Source: Rfam by way of RNAcentral
AUCAUUUUACGGAUCUGUGCCCAGCGCUCCCCUGCUUCGCAAGAAGUUUUCAGGGUCGAUUGUGCUGCGGCAGCUCGAUACCUCCUAUGGAGCCACCCCCCAAACUUUUUCGAAAGAAAUGGUGUCAAUUUUCCUAUCGACAGGUCCAAUAUCAAUCGCGGUGCUUGCAGCCUCAGCUUUUUUCUUCCUUUCCUCUUCGGAGGGGGGGCAGGAUUUGGUUGGGGCUCGCGCUGGGAGUAGUCAUAUUCCGAUCCUCUUUUCCGAGACCGUCGGUCGGUGAGGUUGAGGCGAACCAUGGCGUAUACAUAU